This 89-nucleotide transfer RNA is filed under the name Nocardiopsis kunsanensis. Its description in RNAcentral is "tRNA-Leu". Lineage: Bacteria; Bacillati; Actinomycetota; Actinomycetes; Streptosporangiales; Nocardiopsidaceae. The record is from RNAcentral.
ACGUGGUUGUGGUGUGCGCGCCCCUGGUCCUUGAGGCGGCCCAGGUGCAGGGAGGUCAUGGCGGCGUGGUUGACGUCCACGACCAUGUC